This is a non-coding RNA of Pogona vitticeps (central bearded dragon), 397 nucleotides long. Lineage: Eukaryota; Metazoa; Chordata; Lepidosauria; Squamata; Agamidae. The record is from RefSeq and is a predicted model, not a curated record.
GCGAUUGAAUUUAACGCAAAUGAAUUAACCUGUUAGGAAAAGAACAACCUGGAGAUGCAUAGCCCCACAGCUCUCUUAACAUACAUGCCAUGUUCCUGGUAUAUAGGUUUAAGGAUCUUGGAAAUAUGAAGGAGAAAUGUAUAUGUGGACACACACUCUCCUUUACUUGCGUGCGGAACACAAAUCAGAAGGGAGACAUGAAUAAAUAAGACAGUAGAAACACUCAUCCAAACAGAAUAUGUUUACGGAAUUUGCAUAGACUAAUGAGGUUACAGGUGCUGGACAGUUUUUCAUAUCAUCACAUUUGCUCAUACGGGUGAGGAAACAGAAAGGAAACAUGAGAGAACAUUCACCUUAUGUUGGUGGAACAAUGUACAGCCAGCAAAUCUCCUGCAUG